Molecule: ribosomal RNA, 461 nt
Filed under: uncultured bacterium
Lineage: Bacteria
Description: bacterial SSU rRNA
Rfam family: Bacterial small subunit ribosomal RNA
Source: RNAcentral
GAUGAACGGCUGGCGGCGUGCUUAAUACAUGCAAGUCGAGCGGAAGAUGUAGCAAUAUAUCUUUAGUGGCGAACGGGUGAGUAACGCGUUGGUGACCUGCCCCAAAGAGAGGGAUAACAGUUCGAAAGGACUGCUAAUACCGCAUGAGUUCACAGAGAUUGGAAGGCUGUGAAGAAAGGCGAAAGCCGCUUUGGGAGGGGCCUGCGUCCCAUCAGCUAGUUGGUAGGGUAACGGCCUACCAAGGCGAUGACGGGUAGGGGACCUGAGAGGGUGGCCCCCCACAAUGGAACUGAAACACGGUCCAUACACCUACGGGUGGCAGCAGUAGGGAAUAUUGGUUAAUGGGCGAAAGCCUGAACCAGCAACGCCGCGUGUGCGAUGAAGGCCUUCGGGUUGUAAAGCACUUUUAGUAGGGACGAGGAAGGACGGUACCUACAGAAUAAGCCUCGGCUAACUACGUG